This 196-nucleotide ribosomal RNA is filed under the name Gibbsiella quercinecans. RNAcentral describes it as "partial 23S ribosomal RNA". It matches the Rfam family "Bacterial large subunit ribosomal RNA", at positions 1 to 188 of the family's 2925-position model. Lineage: Bacteria; Pseudomonadati; Pseudomonadota; Gammaproteobacteria; Enterobacterales; Yersiniaceae. The record is from RNAcentral.
GGGUUGUGAGGUUAAGUGACUAAGCGUACACGGUGGAUGCCUAGGCAGUCAGAGGCGAUGAAGGGCGUGCUAAUCUGCGAUAAGCGUCGGUAAGCUGAUAUGAAGCGUAAUAACCGGCGAUACCCGAAUGGGGAAACCCAGUGUGUUUCGACACACUAUUGCAUGGUGAAUCCAUAGCCAUGCAAGGCGAACCGGG